GGGGCGGUAGCUCAGUGGGAGAGCACUUGCUUGACGCGCAAGGGGUCAGAGGUUCGAUCCCUCUUCGCCCCACCA
This 75-nucleotide transfer RNA is filed under the name Peptococcaceae bacterium. Its description in RNAcentral is "tRNA-Val". It matches the Rfam family "tRNA". From Rfam's summary of the family: Transfer RNA (tRNA) molecules are approximately 80 nucleotides in length. Their secondary structure includes four short double-helical elements and three loops (D, anti-codon, and T loops). Lineage: Bacteria; Bacillati; Bacillota; Clostridia; Eubacteriales; Peptococcaceae. RNAcentral also lists the same sequence under 1 other name. The record is from RNAcentral.